UGCGUAGGCGGCCACUUAAGUCAGGGGUGAAAUAUGUCGGCUCAACCGGCAAACGGCCUCUGAAACUGAGUGGCUUGAGUCCGGGAGAGGAAGGUGGAAUUCCUGGUGUAGCGGUGAAAUGCGUAAAUAUCAGGAGGAACACCGGUGGCGAAGGCGGCCUUCUGGCCCGGUACUGACGCUGAGGCACGAAAGCCAGGGGAGCGAACG
This 207-nucleotide ribosomal RNA is filed under the name uncultured bacterium. RNAcentral describes it as "partial 16S ribosomal RNA". It matches the Rfam family "Bacterial small subunit ribosomal RNA", at positions 568 to 774 of the family's 1533-position model. The record is from RNAcentral.